Non-coding RNA from Hydra vulgaris (swiftwater hydra), 694 nucleotides. NCBI's taxonomy places the organism in Eukaryota, Metazoa, Cnidaria, Hydrozoa, Anthoathecata, Hydridae. The record is from RefSeq and is a predicted model, not a curated record.
AGAAAAAACUAAUAAUAACAAUAAUAUUAAUAAUAAUAAUAAAAGAAAUAAAUUAACCACAUAAUAAAAGUAGAAUUUCACAGCAACACCCAUAAAACAGAACUUAAGGUAGAAAUGAUGGAGUGACCUUAAGAACAGAUUCUUGGACCUAGGGAUGAAAUCUGAUUUUAGGGUGUUCGGAAGGGUGUUUCAAGAAAGGAUACACUGGUUAUGACCAUGUUGUUGAUACCAGACGAAUGAACAAAUUAAGAACUGAAUUAAGUCGUAGAAACAAAGAAUUUUGGAUGUCACUUGGAAAACUUCUUGGGCAGAAACUUCUUCGGGCAUUUAUAUAAAUGAAACUCCAGGACAUUUCAAGAUUCAAUUCACAUUUUCAGGAGAUUGUAUCAUAAAAUCAACAACAGGUAUGCCAUGAGAAAAUGGAACAUAUUUUCCUAAUUUUAACACAAUGUUUCAGAUUUUUCUUUUUGAUAAUAAAUAUUAACAAUGUUUACAAAUACUUUAAAUAUAUGGUGUAGUUUUAAUUAUUUUCCCUUUUUCAACCACUCUAUAAGGAACCUGAAAUAAAUGGUCUUUAUCAAAAAAAAAUUUUAUAAGUACUUAUAACUUACCUCAGAUACUUCAUGAUUAUGUUCAUUGUUUAAAUCUUGCAAGAUUAAUGUUUGUCCAUCUUCUGAUGCUUUAAAACUUAAGA